GUGGGGAAUAUUGGACAAUGGGGGGAACCCUGAUCCAGCCAUGCCGCGUGUGUGAAGAAGGCCUUUUGGUUGUAAAGCACUUUAAGCGAGGAGGAGGCUACCGAGAUUAAUACUCUUGGAUAGUGGACGUUACUCGCAGAAUAAGCACCGGCUAACUCUGUGCCAGCAGCCGCGGUAAUACAGAGGGUGCAAGCGUUAAUCGGAUUUACUGGGCGUAAAGCGCGCGUAGGUGGCCAAUUAAGUCAAAUGUGAAAUCCCCGAGCUUAACUUGGGAAUUGCAUUCGAUACUGGUUGGCUAGAGUAUGGGAGAGGAUGGUAGAAUUCCAGGUGUAGCGGUGAAAUGCGUAGAGAUCUGGAGGAAUACCGAUGGCGAAGGCAGCCAUCUGGCCUAAUACUGACACUGAGGUGCGAAAGCAUGGGGAGCAAACAGGAUUAGAAACCCCAGUAGUCC
Molecule: ribosomal RNA, 451 nt
Filed under: uncultured bacterium
Lineage: Bacteria
Description: bacterial SSU rRNA
Rfam family: Bacterial small subunit ribosomal RNA
Source: RNAcentral